This 263-nucleotide unclassified non-coding RNA is filed under the name plant metagenome. RNAcentral's name for it is "partial contains small subunit ribosomal RNA, internal transcribed spacer 1, and 5.8S ribosomal RNA". The record is from RNAcentral.
UUUCCGUAGGUGAGCCUGCGGAAGGAUCAUAAUUGUAUAACCGAGGUGCGAGGGCUGUCGCUGACCCGAAAGGUCGUGCACGCCCGAGUGCCCUCACACACAUCCAUCUCACCCCUAUGUGCACCACCGCGUGGGUCCCCCUUUGGCUUGUUCGGAGGGGGGCUUACGUUUUCACACAAACUUUGUAUGCAGUGUAGAAUGUAUUUUUUGUUUUUGCGAUCACGCAAUCAAUACAACUUUCAACAACGGAUCUCUUGGCUCUC